GAAGGUGGCCUGUGAGGGUUGCUGGAGGUAUCAGAAGUGCGAAUGCUGACAUAAGUAACGAUAAAGCGGGUGAAAAGCCCGCUCGCCGGAAGACCAAGGGUUCCUGUCCAACGUUAAUCGGGGCAGGGUGAGUCGACCCCUAAGGCGAGGCCGAAAGGCGUAGUCGAUGGGAAACGGGUUAAUAUUCCCGUACUUGGUGUUACUGCGAAGGGGGGACGGAGAAGGCUAUGUUGGCCGGGCGACGGUUGUCCCGGUUUAAGCGUGUAGGUGUGUGUUCCAGGUAAAUCCGGUUCACUUUAACACUGAGGCGUGACGACGAGGCACUACGGUGCUGAAGCAACAAAUGCCCUGCUUCCAGGAAAAGCCUCUAAGCAUCAGGUAACAUCAAAUCGUACCCCAAACCGACACAGGUGGUCAGGUAGAGAAUACCAAGGCGCUUGAGAGAACUCGGGUGAAGGAACUAGGCAAAAUGGUGCCGUAACUUCGGGAGAAGGCACGCUGACACGUAGGUGAAGUGAUUUACUCAUGGAGCUGAAGUCAGUCGAAGAUACCAGCUGGCUGCAACUGUUUAUUAAAAACACAGCACUGUGCAAACACGAAAGUGGACGUAUACGGUGUGACGCCUGCCCGGUGCCGGAAGGUUAAUUGAUGGGGUCAGCGCAAGCGAAGCUCCUGAUCGAAGCCCCGGUAAACGGCGGCCGUAACUAUAACGGUCCUAAGGUAGCGAAAUUCCUUGUCGGGUAAGUUCCGACCUGCACGAAUGGCGUAAUGAUGGCCAGGCUGUCUCCACCCGAGACUCAGUGAAAUUGAACUCGCUGUGAAGAUGCAGUGUACCCGCGGCAAGACGGAAAGACCCCGUGAACCUUUACUAUAGCUUGACACUGAACAUUGAGCCUUGAUGUGUAGGAUAGGUGGGAGGCUUUGAAGUGUGGACGCCAGUCUGCAUGGAGCCGACCUUGAAAUACCACCCUUUAAUGUUUGAUGUUCUAACGUGGACCCGUAAUCCGGGUUGCGGACAGUGUCUGGUGGGUAGUUUGACUGGGGCGGUCUCCUCCUAAAGAGUAACGGAGGAGCACGAAGGUUGGCUAAUCCUGGUCGGACAUCAGGAGGUUAGUGCAAUGGCAUAAGCCAGCUUGACUGCGAGCGUGACGGCGCGAGCAGGUGCGAAAGCAGGUCAUAGUGAUCCGGUGGUUCUGAAUGGAAGGGCCAUCGCUCAACGGAUAAAAGGUACUCCGGGGAUAACAGGCUGAUACCGCCCAAGAGUUCAUAUCGACGGCGGUGUUUGGCACCUCGAUGUCGGCUCAUCACAUCCUGGGGCUGAAGUAGGUCCCAAGGGUAUGGCUGUUCGCCAUUUAAAGUGGUACGCGAGCUGGGUUUAGAACGUCGUGAGACAGUUCGGUCCCUAUCUGCCGUGGGCGCUGGAGAACUGAGGGGGGCUGCUCCUAGUACGAGAGGACCGGAGUGGACGCAUCACUGGUGUUCGGGUUGUCAUGCCAAUGGCACUGCCCGGUAGCUAAAUGCGGAAGAGAUAAGUGCUGAAAGCAUCUAAGCACGAAACUUGCCCCGAGAUGAGUUCUCCCUGAGACUUAGAGUCUCCUGAAGGAACGUUGAAGACGACGACGUUGAUAGGCCGGGUGUGUAAGCGCAGCGAUGCGUUGAGCUAACCGGUACUAAUGAACCGUGAGGCUUAACCUUACAACGCCGAAG
This 1707-nucleotide ribosomal RNA is filed under the name Salmonella enterica. RNAcentral describes it as "bacterial LSU rRNA". It matches the Rfam family "Bacterial large subunit ribosomal RNA", at positions 1252 to 2925 of the family's 2925-position model. Lineage: Bacteria; Pseudomonadati; Pseudomonadota; Gammaproteobacteria; Enterobacterales; Enterobacteriaceae. The record is from RNAcentral. RNAcentral also lists the same sequence under 6 other names.